UGGUUCUAACUCGCAGAGAGAGUUAGAUAAUGUUAACAUAUCCGCAGCAACAGACAUUUCAGGGACCAUUCCUGAUUAUAUCACGACCGCAGAAUGUACAGUUCGUAUUCCGGAAGUCAUAUCUCCUAGCUUUUCAAGAAGGUCCAAUCUGACAUUAGAAACCAAGACGGCAAGGAAAAGACUUAUAAAAAGUGUACAACAAUUAACCCCCAGAUGCAAGAAAAUGUACCAAAAAUGCUCGACUAUACUGAAAUCCCGUCGCCGUAUAGUUCAGUCAUACCAGGAGCGAAUAGAAAAAGCUGAAAAACUCAAUCAGAAUAAAUCUUUUUCUGAGCUUGUAGAGAAACUGACUCCUCAAGCCAAGACAUUCCUUAAAAUGCAGGUCACGCUCGCCAAUAGACAUAUAAAAAGACGGAGGUUCACAACUGAACAGAAACUCUUGGCUCUAUCACUCCAAAAGCAAAGUCCGAAAGGAUAUAAAUUGCUGCACAAGAUAUUUAUCUUGCCUAGCAGGCGCACUCUAAGAAAAUUUACUCAUCAUAUUUCUCUUGCGCCGGGAAUAAAUGAAAACAUAUUUACACAACUAAAGGAGUCAGUUCGGAAUUGGGAUGACAAAAAAAGUGCUGUUCCAUUGUAUUUUAUGAAGUGGCGUUGACACCUCAUUUGACAUUCUUAGAAUCUCAAGAUCGCAUUGACGGUUUUGUGAAUUUUGGCGCCGAAGUGGAAAGGAAACUAUGCGAUCAUGCCCUUGUUUUUAUGGUUCGAGGUAUAUGCACUUCAUGGAGACAGCCCAUAGCUUAUUAUUUAUGUGAAGGAACAACUCCAACUAUUAAGUUGAAAAACAUUUUAAAGGUAGUUACUUAUUUAUUUUGAAGU
This is a non-coding RNA of Plutella xylostella (diamondback moth), 876 nucleotides long. The record is from RefSeq and is a predicted model, not a curated record. NCBI's taxonomy places the organism in Eukaryota, Metazoa, Arthropoda, Insecta, Lepidoptera, Plutellidae.